UACGUAGGGGGCAAGCGUUGUCCGGAUUUAUUGGGCGUAAAGAGCGUGUGGGCGGCCAGGGAGGUCCGUUGUGAAAACUCGAGGCUCAACCUCGAGACGCCGAUGGAAACCCCCUGGCUAGAGUCCGGAAGAGGAGAAUGGAAUUCCUGGUGUAGCGGUGAAAUGCGCAGAUAUCAGGAAGGACACCCGUGGCUAAGGCGGUUCUCUAGUACGGUACUGACGCUGAGACGCGAAAGCGUGGGGAGCGAACAGG
RNAcentral lists this ribosomal RNA (253 nucleotides) under uncultured bacterium. RNAcentral describes it as "partial 16S ribosomal RNA". It matches the Rfam family "Bacterial small subunit ribosomal RNA", at positions 524 to 776 of the family's 1533-position model. The record is from RNAcentral.